ACUUUGCCCUAAUCCUAUUUUUCUUCCUCUCUCGAUUCCUUCAUCCCUCAUUUGCGCCGAAGCCCUCCUCUCUCGAUUUCUUGCCCCUGUGCGUCACACUUCUUCCUCGAUGCAGACGCCAUUCUAUACUCCAUUGGUUGAGCAACCCUCCUUCACUAUCAAUUGAGUUCAUCCGGCGAUCAUUCCUCUUCUCGAGUUGUCACACGUCUGCUUGGGUAGUCGAGGGAGAGGAGAUCCAAGCUGUGCCCUAGCUACCAUCGUCGAUGUCGACUCUUGAUCAGCCGACGCUGACUCUCGACUCAUCUUCUCGCUCUGCCCUCACCCACUCGCCCUAGUGUCGUAUGACCUUCAUCGUCGGUCACCUCUCCGCGCUGCUGUCGCCACGCACAAGCUUUUGUCGAAGAUGCUGGAAGGGAGGAAUUGACACCAAGGAGGGCAACAAGGUCUCUCACUUGCGGAUUUGGAGGAGUCGCUACCAUUGGAGGUCAUCAGCCCCGUUUCCCUCUCCGCCGUGGUACACUGCAACCCAUUUCAUCAUCGGCACAAGACUGUCGACCUCUUGCUGUUCCACUUCCCAUCAUCAUUGUCACCGUGAGCACCAGUGCCGAGCCACCUCUCUCACCAGGCUGCCUUUGCACGCUAUGAUCGCCACUGUGCUUGACGGUUGUCGUUGUUUACUUGCGAUCAUGCCACCACCAGCACCUGAUCCCAAACACCGCUUUCCCUCGCGUCCAUCGUCGCCACCUAAUCAUAUUCCCUUCAGCUGACCAACACUGAUCUGUCGAUCUAGCUAGCUAUAUCGUGCUGCUCAUGCCAAGCUCGAUGAGAUCAAGCGGUCAAUUAAGGGGGGAUAUUGGUGUUUAUUUGAUCGAUUGUCCAUCUCUUCUCGUGCUGAGACCCUUCAGUCGUGACCAUCGCCUCCAGCACUCAGUCAUCAGAGAGUUUGGUGGUUGGCUGAUUGAUUUGGGAUUGUGAUUCGAGAUGAGAGCCUUGAUGUGAGAUUAUUUAGCUCGACCUACAUUUAAGGUAGUUGGUAAAGGAUUUAUGGAGUCGCAUGGAGGUCCUGUCCGCCAUGUCCCAUGUCACAUUCAAAGACAAUCUUAUGAUUUUGGUAUUCCUUACGCUAUUUGUAUUUGGUUUUGUACUUGUGUAUUCUAUUAUUUGGUGUAUCGUUUGUGUUAUCUUGUAUUUGGUUUGUUAA
Long non-coding RNA from Zingiber officinale, 1201 nucleotides. RefSeq lists it as uncharacterized. The record is from RefSeq and is a predicted model, not a curated record. The transcript has 4 exons. Lineage: Eukaryota; Viridiplantae; Streptophyta; Magnoliopsida; Zingiberales; Zingiberaceae.